CCCUUAGAUGUUCUGGGCCGCACGCGCGCUACACUGAUGCAUUCAACGAGUCUAAAACCUGCUCUGAUAGGGGUGGGUAAUCUUUUGAAUGUGCAUCGUGAUUGGGAUAGAUGAUUGCAAUUUUUCAUCUUCAACGAGGAAUGCCUAGUAAACGCAAGUCAUCAGCUUGCAUUGAUUACGUCCCUGCCCUUUGUACACACCGCCCGUCGCUCCUACCGAUUGAAUGAUCCGAUGAAUAUCAGGGAUUGAGGAUGCAAGCAGGUUCGCCUGUCUUCAUCUUCGAGAAGUGAAGUAAAUCUUAUCAUUUAGAGGAAGGAGAAGUCGUAACA
Molecule: ribosomal RNA, 329 nt
Filed under: uncultured eukaryote
Lineage: Eukaryota
Description: partial 18S ribosomal RNA
Rfam family: Eukaryotic small subunit ribosomal RNA
Source: RNAcentral